CCUACGGGAGGCAGCAGUGAGGAAUAUUGGUCAAUGGGCGUAAGCCUGAACCAGCCAAGUCGCGUGAGGGAUGAAGGUUCUAUGGAUCGUAAACCUCUUUUAUAAGGGAAUAAAGUGUGGGACGUGUCCCGGUCCGGAGAGUACCCGGAGAAAAAGCAUCGGCUAACUCCGUGCCAGCAGCCGCGGUAAUACGGAGGAUGCGAGCGUUAUCCGGUUUUAUGGGGUUUAAAGGGUGCGUAGGCGGGCUUUUAAGUCAGCGGUAAAAAUUCGGGGCUCAACCCCGUCCGGCCGUUGAAACUGGGGGCCUUGAGUGGGCGAGAAGAAGGCGGAAUGCGUGGUGUAGCGGUGAAAUGCAUAGAUAUCACGCAGAACCCCGAUUGCGAAGGCAGCCUUCCGGCGCCCUACUGACGCUGAGGCACGAAAGUGCGGGGAUCGAACAGGAUUAGAUACCCUGGUAGUC
This 460-nucleotide ribosomal RNA is filed under the name uncultured bacterium. RNAcentral's name for it is "partial 16S ribosomal RNA". It matches the Rfam family "Bacterial small subunit ribosomal RNA", at positions 338 to 795 of the family's 1533-position model. The record is from RNAcentral.